RNAcentral lists this ribosomal RNA (460 nucleotides) under uncultured bacterium. RNAcentral's name for it is "partial 16S ribosomal RNA". It matches the Rfam family "Bacterial small subunit ribosomal RNA", at positions 338 to 795 of the family's 1533-position model. The record is from RNAcentral.
CCUACGGGAGGCAGCAGUGAGGAAUAUUGGUCAAUGGACGAGAGUCUGAACCAGCCAAGUAGCGUGAAGGAUGAAUGCCCUAUGGGUUGUAAACUUCUUUUAUAUGGGAAUAAAACGUUCCACGUGUGGGAUUUUGUAUGUACCAUAUGAAUAAGGAUCGGCUAACUCCGUGCCAGCAGCCGCGGUAAUACGGAGGAUCCGAGCGUUAUCCGGAUUUAUUGGGUUUAAAGGGAGCGUAGGUGGAUUGUUAAGUCAGUUGUGAAAGUUUUCGGAUCAACCGUAAAAUUGCAGUUGAAACUGGCAGUCUUGAGUACAGUAGAGGUGGGCGGAAUUCGUGGUGUAGCGGUGAAAUGCUUAGAUAUCACGAAGAACUCCGAUUGCGAAGGCAGUUCACUGGACUGCAACUGACACUGAGGCUCGAAAGUGUGGGUAUCAAACAGGAUGAGAUACCCUAGUAGUC